RNAcentral lists this transfer RNA (87 nucleotides) under Caldimonas hydrothermalis. RNAcentral's name for it is "tRNA-Leu". It matches the Rfam family "tRNA". Rfam says of the family: Transfer RNA (tRNA) molecules are approximately 80 nucleotides in length. Their secondary structure includes four short double-helical elements and three loops (D, anti-codon, and T loops). Further hydrogen bonds mediate the characteristic L-shaped molecular structure. tRNAs have two regions of fundamental functional importance: the anti-codon, which is responsible for specific mRNA codon recognition, and the 3' end, to which the tRNAs corresponding amino acid is attached (by aminoacyl-tRNA synthetases). tRNAs cope with the degeneracy of the genetic code in two manners: having more than one tRNA (with a specific anti-codon) for a particular amino acid; and 'wobble' base-pairing, i.e. permitting non-standard base-pairing at the 3rd anti-codon position. The record is from RNAcentral. RNAcentral also lists the same sequence under 3 other names. Lineage: Bacteria; Pseudomonadati; Pseudomonadota; Betaproteobacteria; Burkholderiales; Sphaerotilaceae.
GCCCGGGUGGCGAAACUGGUAGACGCAGCAGACUCAAAAUCUGCCGGUGGCAACACCGUGCCGGUUCGAUUCCGGCCCCGGGCACCA